Molecule: ribosomal RNA, 253 nt
Filed under: uncultured bacterium
Lineage: Bacteria
Description: partial 16S ribosomal RNA
Rfam family: Bacterial small subunit ribosomal RNA
Source: RNAcentral
UACAGAGGGUGCAAGCGUUAAUCGGAAUUACUGGGCGUAAAGCGUGCGUAGUCGGCUUUUUAAGUCGGGUGUGAAAUCCCCGGGCUCAACCUGGGAAUUGCAUUCGAUACUGGAUGGCUAGAGUUCGGCAGAGGGAAGUGGAAUUUCUGGUGCAGCGGUGAAAUGCGUAGAUAUCAGAAGGAACAUCAGUGGCGAAAGCGACUUCCUGGACCAGAACUGACGAUCAGGCACGAAAGCGUGGGGAGCAAACAGG